This 562-nucleotide small RNA is filed under the name Pan troglodytes (chimpanzee). RNAcentral describes it as "retained intron". The record is from RNAcentral. Lineage: Eukaryota; Metazoa; Chordata; Mammalia; Primates; Hominidae.
UUCUCCCCGGAGGAGUGGGGCUGUCUGCGGCCCGCGCAGAGGGCUCUGUACCGGGACGUGAUGCAGGAGACCUACGGCCACCUGGGCGCGCUCGGUGAGAGCCCCGGGUCCGAGCCCCCUCCUCCUUCACCGGGUUCACAGGGGAGAUGAUGUAGAAGGGCCGAGAGGACUGUGAGCCCUAAUCCCGCACUCUUGCACCAACACCAGCAGCCACCUCCCGUUCCCAGGGCUUCAGGUACCCCCUCGGGAGUGUUUUCACCCGCAUCCACUUCAUUCAGGCAGCAGCACUGCAGCCCCUUCCAGGAGAUGUCCCAAACAGGAAGGAAGAGGAACCCGAGGAAGUCCCAAGAGCCAAAGGGCCUAGAAAGGCUCCUGUGAAGGAGAGUCCUGAAGUGCUGGUGGAACGCAACCCUGACCCAGCUAUUAGCGUGGCCCCGGCACGGGCACAGCCACCCAAAAAUGCUGCCUGGGACCCGACCACAGGAGCACAGCCCCCGGCACCCAUACCCAGCAUGGAUGCUCAGGCCGGCCAGCGGCGCCACGUGUGCACGGACUGCGGCCG